RNAcentral lists this ribosomal RNA (301 nucleotides) under uncultured bacterium. Its description in RNAcentral is "partial 16S ribosomal RNA". It matches the Rfam family "Bacterial small subunit ribosomal RNA", at positions 509 to 809 of the family's 1533-position model. The record is from RNAcentral.
CAGUCGCCACGGGAAUACGAAGGGGGCUAGCGUUGCUCGGAAUGACUGGGCGUAAAGGGCGCGUAGGCGGUUUUGACAGUCAGAUGUGAAAUUCCUGGGCUUAACCUGGGGGCUGCAUUUGAGACGUCAGGACUAGAGUGUGAGAGAGGGUUGUGGAAUUCCCAGUGUAGAGGUGAAAUUCGUAGAUAUUGGGAAGAACACCGGUGGCGAAGGCGGCAACCUGGCUCAUUACUGACGCUGAGGCGCGAAAGCGUGGGGAGCAAACAGGAUUAGAUACCCCCGUAGUCCCUGUCUCUUAUAA